GACGAACGCUGGCGGCGUGCCUAAUACAUGCAAGUAGAACGCUGAAGGAGGAGCUUGCUUCUCUGGAUGAGUUGCGAACGGGUGAGUAACGCGUAGGUAACCUGCCUGGUAGCGGGGGAUAACUAUUGGAAACGAUAGCUAAUACCGCAUAAGAGUAGAUGUUGCAUGACAUUUGCUUAAAAGGUGCAAUUGCAUCACUACCAGAUGGACCUGCGUUGUAUUAGCUAGUUGGUGGGGUAACGGCUCACCAAGGCGACGAUACAUAGCCGACCUGAGAGGGUGAUCGGCCACACUGGGACUGAGACACGGCCCAGACUCCUACGGGAGGCAGCAGUAGGGAAUCUUCGGCAAUGGACGGAAGUCUGACCGAGCAACGCCGCGUGAGUGAAGAAGGUUGUCGGAUCGUAAAGCUCUGUUGUAAGAGAAGAGCGAGUGUGAGAGUGGAAAGUUCACACUGUGACGGUAUCUUACCAGAAAGGGACGGCUAACUACGUG
RNAcentral lists this ribosomal RNA (495 nucleotides) under uncultured bacterium. RNAcentral describes it as "partial 16S ribosomal RNA". It matches the Rfam family "Bacterial small subunit ribosomal RNA", at positions 28 to 507 of the family's 1533-position model. The record is from RNAcentral.